RNAcentral lists this long non-coding RNA (200 nucleotides) under Numida meleagris (helmeted guineafowl). Its description in RNAcentral is "lncRNA (ENSNMEG00000019229.1)". Lineage: Eukaryota; Metazoa; Chordata; Aves; Galliformes; Numididae. The record is from RNAcentral.
UUUAAACAAUGAGGAGAGCUUUCCCCAGAAUCCUUUAAAUGAAGAGCAUGCUGAUGCUGACAGUAGCCACUAACAAAUUCAUAAGAUACACCCUGCAUAAGCAGUAAGUGCCUGUGUGCAUCUGGCUUUGGGCAGCUGCUGAAGAGACAAACACUACGUGCACGUGCACACAUACAGACGAUAAGAGUAAUGUUGCUAUA